GUAGGUGGCAAGCGUUACUCGGAAUCACUAGGCGUAAAGCGCAGGUAGGCGGUUUGAUAAGUCUGUUGUGAAAGCUCCCGGCUUAACUGGGAGAGGUCAACGGAAACUAUCAGGCUAGAGUGUGGUAGAGGUAGCUGGAAUUCCCGGUGUAGCGGUGAAAUGCGUAGAUAUCGGGAGGAAUACCUAUGGCGAAAGCAGGCUACUGGACCAUCACUGACGCUGAUCUGCGAAAGCUAGGGGAGCAAACAGGAUUAGAUACCCUGGUAGUCCUAGCCCUAAACGAUGCUCAUUAGGUGUGGGAGGUAUCGACCCCUUCCGCGCCGUAGCUAACGCAUUAAAUGAGCCGCCUGGGGAGUACGGCCGCAAGGUUG
Molecule: ribosomal RNA, 371 nt
Filed under: uncultured bacterium
Lineage: Bacteria
Description: bacterial SSU rRNA
Rfam family: Bacterial small subunit ribosomal RNA
Source: RNAcentral